AGUGAACGCUGGCGGUAGGCCUAACACAUGCAAGUCGAACGGCAGCACAGUAAGAGCUUGCUCUUACGGGUGGCGAGUGGCGGACGGGUGAGGAAUACAUCGGAAUCUACUUUUUCGUGGGGGAUAACGUAGGGAAACUUACGCUAAUACCGCAUACGACCUACGGGUGAAAGCAGGGGAUCUUCGGACCUUGCGCGAUUGAAUGAGCCGAUGUCGGAUUAGCUAGUUGGCGGGGUAAAGGCCCACCAAGGCGACGAUCCGUAGCUGGUCUGAGAGGAUGACAGCCCCCACUGGACUGGAGCCCCGUCCCAGACCCUUACGGAAGCAGGCGUUGGGAAUUUUGGAACAAGGGGCGAAACCUGGUCCAGCCAUACCGCGUGGGUGAAGAAGGCUUUCGGGUUGUAAAGCCCUUUUGUUGGGAAAGAAAAGCAGCAGGUUAAUACCCCGCUGUUCUGACGGUACCCAAAGAAUAAGCACCGGCUAACUUCGUG
This 491-nucleotide ribosomal RNA is filed under the name uncultured bacterium. Its description in RNAcentral is "partial 16S ribosomal RNA". It matches the Rfam family "Bacterial small subunit ribosomal RNA", at positions 29 to 507 of the family's 1533-position model. The record is from RNAcentral.